This is a non-coding RNA of Acanthosepion pharaonis, 108 nucleotides long. The record is from the annotation of a GenBank genome assembly. NCBI's taxonomy places the organism in Eukaryota, Metazoa, Mollusca, Cephalopoda, Sepiida, Sepiidae.
UUACGGCCAUACCACGUUGAAACACCAGUUCUCCUACGAUCAUAGAAGUUAAGCAAUGUCAAGCCUAAUCAGUACCUCGAAGGGUGAUCACUUGAGAAUAUCAGGUGC